RNAcentral lists this long non-coding RNA (592 nucleotides) under Malus domestica (apple). RNAcentral describes it as "long non-coding RNA (MDOM_LNC001920)". Lineage: Eukaryota; Viridiplantae; Streptophyta; Magnoliopsida; Rosales; Rosaceae. The record is from RNAcentral.
UAAAAACACAAACUAAAGUGAUUACUAACUAAUCUAACACUUUGAAAUAAAUGGGAGAUUGGUUCUUGACAAAUUUGAAAACAAAACAAACUUUGUAAAACAAAACAGAUUGUAAAUGAAUUUGAAUGAAACUUAUGGAUGGAAGACUAGCUAGGAGGUUCUUCUCCACACAUGUCACACUUGCAUACAAAACGAUUUCCAGUUGCUUUUCGAUAAACUAUGAAUACUCAACGUCCCAAAUUAACCGUGAAUUGCACUAAUUAACCCUCAGUUUUUCCACAAGUUAUUGGGUUGGAUGAUUGCAUACGACAACCCAAAACAUUCCCUACAAGUUCCCUACAUGAAUUGCAUAAUAGAGAUACAAGUAAGAAUCAUUAAGUUCUAUGAAAAACAUAAGCAUUGACGAGGCACUCGUUACUAUGAUUUGCAUGAAACUUAUGCCAAGAAUUUACUUAACGUGACUGUGACUAGCAACCUUCACUACUUGUGAAUAUAAGUUCAUAAUGAUUAGGUGAAACUCCCUUAUACUCUAGCGUCAAAUUCAUGCAUGAAAAUUAAGCGUGCACUCUCAACCAACAUACACAAAUCAGUU